This is a long non-coding RNA of Mya arenaria, 840 nucleotides long. RefSeq lists it as uncharacterized. The record is from RefSeq and is a predicted model, not a curated record. NCBI's taxonomy places the organism in Eukaryota, Metazoa, Mollusca, Bivalvia, Myida, Myidae. The transcript has 2 exons.
UAGGAAUAAACAAUCACAAUUACACAUGUCACUAGUUUUACUAUUUUAUGAUAGCUUUAUAAUACAAUAUUUAUAUGUUUGACUGCGUGUCUCGUGUUCGUAUUUACAGCAACAUUUGAGGUAAUCAAAUAACAAAUGCCUUGCUUGAUCACAUCCAAAAUGGUAAAAAGCGAUAUACCUUGAAAUUCCGAGAUUUAGAGGAAAUUGUGCGUGUCCAGAGUUACAACCUUGAAAACGCAUUGAUGAACAGCGAUUUGGUAAGAAGCAGUAUUAUUUCUGCGUUUAUCCCUUUCCUUCCUCUUGAGAGAAGACACGUGGAAAAAUGCAUCAGAGACGGAUUGUUUGCUAAGGGGCAUUACCAGUAUGGCUUUCAAAUCGACCAGGAUGUUGUAAAGCAAACUGCGGACGAGUUGACCUACUUUCCCGAAGACACUCGCCUUUUUUCAACUACAGGAUGCAAAAGGGUAUAUGAAAAGAUCGAUCUCAUCAUGCAGCAGGAUUAACUGUGUAUGGCAUGGAGUUGGUAUAGGACGAGACUGUCAAACAACCCACAAAUUUCAUCUGAAAAGGGGAAAACAUUACUAGAGUAGACCUAUUAAUAAAGUAUUUAAUAACAUUAAGUAAGAAAUUAAAUUGCUUGUAACAGAAAUAUUUCGUAUUGUUUCAAACAAAUUGUUCACAAAGGUUGGCUGAGUAAACUAUUCAGUACUUGUAUGUUCUCGUUGGAACGAGUCCAGAGUCCUGCACACGUUUUUUUUCUUGAAAUUCUUUACCAUUAUCUUAUUUGGCAUGUAUUUGUUUUCCUGUAUGUUACUUUUACACAUAAACGUUCAUAAAAUA